This is a non-coding RNA of Varroa destructor (honeybee mite), 3497 nucleotides long. The record is from RefSeq and is a predicted model, not a curated record. Lineage: Eukaryota; Metazoa; Arthropoda; Arachnida; Mesostigmata; Varroidae.
UAGGAAAAGUAACAAAAUUGCCUGAUGUAUCUUUGACAUUAAAUAGCAGCAUCAAAGUCAACAGCGAACUUCUCGAAAAAGGAUAUAUUUUUCAAAAUAUAUAUUGCUCAACGACAGUUCCAAUUUUCCAAAAUACCUUUACCGUCUGCUAGCAAGGAAGAAAACAUCAAGCCCAUAGCUGUUGACAGAGAGUGGUUACGGACAUUCCGCGUCUUGCUAAAGCGUUUAAAGAAUGCGAAAAAUAUGCGCCGACCAUUCUUCGAGAUGGACGUGCAGGACACAACGAAAGAAAGCGCAAUGGCACAAUGAAAGGCAUCAACACAGAUCGAUAGUAACGCAACUGCUAGGAACGGGAACGUUUUUUUGAGAAUCGCCUCAGAAACGUUGCGCUAUUUCUCGUCUUAAUGUAUUAUUACGUUACCUAAAAGGGCGGAGAAGUGUGAGGUAAAUCGAUCAGAAUUGCCCAAGAAGAUUAUUACAUAUCACCGAACAAGUUGUCCAUCGCACACUGCUUGGAAAAGCACGGGUCACAAUGUGCGGUACGGCGCAGAAGAUCUUUGGAAUUUUAACAUCAUUAGAACCUUGAGAUCUUCCGAGCGAUUGCUAGCUGAGAUUAUCAAUCUUAUAGGUUAGCCCGCUAGCCCUGCUAUUCAUCGAGGAGCAAGUGUACGAGAUUUCUUGAUUUUCGUGCAAGAAAUGGAAGUACAUCGUUACCCCGUGCACGAGCACGAGCACGAGAAGGAUGUGACCAAAAUUAAUCCAGUGCUUUAUCAAAAAGGUAGAAAAACGACUGAACCUUAAAAGUACUGGACCGGCCAAGGGACGUUUUUGUAGCUCGAUACGCGACCCGCGGAUCUCUGUCACUGCGUACUUUUUUUAGAACCUAUCAGUGUUUUUGCAUAGCAUUGACGAUUUAGCUCGUUCAGCAAUAAAAAAUACCGUUCUUUAACUAAUUGAAUCGUCAAUGUCUCUAACUAACAAAGCUAAUGAAAACUGUAACGUCUUUCGAAUGCAGGCCGAACGAGAAGGUAACAACGAUAAAAUGGCGCGUCAAUGGAUAAAAUCCGUGAAAAGAGUGCAAUAUAAGGCUAUGUAACUAACAGCUGUUACAAGUACGCUUGCGGGUCGAUCUAGAGCAUGCGUAUUGCAGGCUCAGAUCACACGCAAAUCUAAUCCACGAGCUCCUUUCUGAUCAGGCCCUUGAAAAUGUACCUAAACUGUUCCAAAUUAUGAAAGGCAAGUUUGUCCUAAAAACGAAUUUUCCAUGUAACAUCGUUUCGUGAAAUAAGGUCACGGGUAUCGACAGUUGCACUCGUCCGUGUGUGUUUUUUAGAUGAACUCGGCGCUCAUCUAUACAAUUGAAUUUGUAUAAAUAAAUGGAUGAAUAAAUAGGAAUGUAGUAUUAAAGAGCAGUUACAAUUCAAAAUAUUUUACUAUUUAAACAUGAAAGCAUCAGCAUUUCGACGAAUUAUACACGAAAAUAAAUAUCAUUGAUUCAAUUCAGAUUGUAAGAUGUAUCCUCCUGUGGAGCGGCUGCUCCCGCCAAAAUAUGCGUCUGCAAUCGGUCGGCUAAGCGGACCAAUGAAGCCCAACCGUGAUGUUAUUUACUUUACGUGAUAUUAAGAAUUUAUCUAUGACAUUAUACAUUGUUGGUUUCAACUGGAAGAAAACAACACGAUGCCUUCAAUGCUUUUCUCUUCUAAUUGUUCCCUUUAAUUUCUGCGUGAAAUACGCAGCUGUUGCUAGCCAUAUUGAUACACGCAGCCCAUCCCUGACUGAAUAAAGCUGUUAAGUUACUGUCAAGAAAUCAGCUAAUCUCUCUAACAGUGAAAUAGGUCAUAGCGGUUAUGGCCACCAUUGAAUAGUCCUUCCAAUUAGGCACAUUGCAUUGAGCGUAGAUUCAACUGUCGAACUGAAUAUUCAGAAAACCGAAGAAGUGCAUUUAUAUAUAUUAUAAUACAAGAACGUGCAUAAAUUUAAAGCUCAGCUAGUUGAUGAUGUAUAAUUCUAAUUAAUUCUCUUUUUCUUUUCCUGGGUUUCGGACCCAGAGACUUUUUUCGUAUCUGUCAAUCUCUACAUCCACAUAUUCUCAACGCGAACCGCAGUAAUGUAGAUUUAAGAUAGUUCCCUGCUUGUCUAAACAUGAUAAUCAUUCGAGGUCAAACGCAAAUUUCUUGCUACUGCCGCCGCAGAUCAUCCCAUAUUUGGAAGUAGCUGAUUAGCAUGAUUUAAUUUCUCGUAUAUUCCUAUGGGGCAGCCCAUCGAGUUACAAAUUUGCUGUUGCGGAUUUCCUCGUUAAGGGUCGUUUCAUGGAAACUGGAACGAACCAAUGAUACCCAAACAAAGUACAUCCUGCGGGGCAGCGUUCAUUAUUGAUUUUUCUAAAAGACGAGAUAUUAUGUGCCAAGUCCAAGUGGAAGAUUGCUGACCUCGAGACUUCAGAGCUCGGCUGAAUCAUCUAAGAGCUCUCGAAGCAUCCGUUACGGCGAGGUUUCGUCUUAUAUUCGUCACAUAUUCUGAAGCACCAUUCAGAUGGUGAACUGCUCUGCAUGCAGUUAUGAAAUUGUCUAAUUGGGCAGCAUUGCGAAGUUGUGGAGCAGAAAAGUACUGCGCAAUGCUUUUUCAAGAUUCGAGUAGGAUUUAUUGAGUGCAUCCAUUAGCAAAUAGGUCUAUCACGUAUAUGUUCGGGCCUACGUGGCUGGCCUCGAGCGGCAUGACAGCUCACAAAUGCUCAUAUAAUUAAAACAUUUAUAUAUUUUUAAAUGCAAAACCGCAUAGAAUAUGCAUGCUAGCGCCACAACUACCGUAACUCUCCUCAGGCAGAAACAAUGUAUAAUAGCAUACGUUUAAUGUGAUGACACUAUGGAGGUAUUAUUAGACGAUCAACAACUGAGUAAGGGGCAAAAAUGAAAAAUAAUCACUGCAGAUUGAUUUUGGCCCAGGACUUCAAUAGCCUAAUAAGAAAAUAUAUUUGAAUACGUACUCUAAGGGAACCACAGCAGAUGAAAUGUUCCCAAAUCGCGUAUUAUGUAGGCGCGUCCAUGACGUUGUAUUCUCUUAUCGCAUUACGGGACUGCUGAGCGACUGUUAUCAGGAGAUUUGAUAUCGUUCACUGAAUUCACGUGAUAGAUACGGCACAGCAUUUUGAGUCAGAAGAUGAUAAACAUGGAGACCAAAUGAACCGCUCAAAACGAGCACGGGAAAAAUGUGUAAAGAUGUUUAUGUCAUUGUAUAUGAAAGUUGCUGUCGUAGAUCUUUUAUACAUCGUCAAGAAGAAUGAUAAUGUGGCGUUACUAGUAGUCACAAGAAUUACUUUUAAGAUAAAAGUAUCUUUAGUACUUCGAAUAAAUCACAUCGGCCUUUUUUUCUAAAGUUUUUCGGUAUCAUAUGUAGUCCAGCUGUCUGUAUUGAAAUGGUGCAUUUUGAAUUUCCGUUCACGUUUGGAUAAUUGUUCAAUAAAAAUAUAGAUUCAAUAAAAUAUACAACAUUUUUAACAG